Unclassified non-coding RNA from Pongo abelii (Sumatran orangutan), 117 nucleotides. It matches the Rfam family "Metazoan signal recognition particle RNA". From Rfam's summary of the family: The signal recognition particle (SRP) is a universally conserved ribonucleoprotein. It is involved in the co-translational targeting of proteins to membranes. The eukaryotic SRP consists of a 300-nucleotide 7S RNA and six proteins: SRPs 72, 68, 54, 19, 14, and 9. The record is from Ensembl. NCBI's taxonomy places the organism in Eukaryota, Metazoa, Chordata, Mammalia, Primates, Hominidae.
GCCGGGCGUGGUGGCUCACGCCUGUAAUCCCAGCACUUUGGGAGGCCGAGGCAGGCGGAUCACCUGAGGUCGGGAGUUCGAGACCAGCCUGACCAACACGGAGAAACCCUGUCUCUA